This 325-nucleotide ribosomal RNA is filed under the name uncultured eukaryote. RNAcentral describes it as "partial 18S ribosomal RNA". It matches the Rfam family "Eukaryotic small subunit ribosomal RNA", at positions 1470 to 1796 of the family's 1831-position model. The record is from RNAcentral.
CCCUUAGAUGUUCUGGGCCGCACGCGCGCUACACUGAUGCAUACAACGAGCCUAUCCUUGACCGACAGGUCCGGGUAAUCUUUGAAUCUGCAUCGUGACGGGGAUAGAUUAUUGCAAUUAUUAAUCUUCAACGAGGAAUGCCUAGUAGGCGCAAGUCAUCAGCUUGCGUCGAUUACGUCCCUGCCCUUUGUACACACCGCCCGUCGCUCCUACCGAUUGGGUGUGCUGGUGAAAUGUUCGGAUCGGCCGUUUGUCGCGGUUUCCGCGUCAUGUGGCUGAGAAGUUCAUUAAACCCUCCCACCUAGAGGAAGGAGAAGUCGUAACA